RNAcentral lists this long non-coding RNA (316 nucleotides) under Nicotiana benthamiana. RNAcentral's name for it is "long non-coding RNA (NBEN_LNC019253)". The record is from RNAcentral. Lineage: Eukaryota; Viridiplantae; Streptophyta; Magnoliopsida; Solanales; Solanaceae.
AAAGAAGAAAGGCAUCGAUUUCUUAAAAAUAAGAGUACCUUGUUUGCCCAAUAAGAAGACUUUCUUCCUAACUCUUCGGAUUACCGGGGAAUACUUUCUCAGCCGUAGAGCUGACAAUAGGGUGGAACGAUUCUUCAUAGUAAGAAUAUAUUAUAUUAUACCGGCUGUACCUAUUAUAUGUCGGAUAGGCGCCCGCCCCCAAGCCAGUGUCCAUCUUCAUGAAAUGACAUUGGUAGACGGGUUGGGACCAGCCUUCUAUCCCGGUGAACAAUGUUCCCCCAGCAUCUCAAGUGAUUAGACAGUGACCGGCUUCGCG